RNAcentral lists this long non-coding RNA (207 nucleotides) under Mytilus galloprovincialis (Mediterranean mussel). Lineage: Eukaryota; Metazoa; Mollusca; Bivalvia; Mytilida; Mytilidae. The record is from RNAcentral.
GGCGGCGUUAGCAUAGUUCUUAAAAGCUUUAAAUUUUACUUGGUAUAUGGAUACCUCAUGUUACAAAGUUUUCGUCAGUCACAUGUCCAGUGUCCUUGACCUCAUUUUCAUGGUUCAGUGACUACUUGAAAAAAAAGUUACGAUUUUUUGUAAUGUUAAAUUCUCCCUUAUUAUCAGGGAUGUCAACGAGUACUCGAGUAUUGCUCG